GAUGAACGCUGGCGGCGUGCCUAAUACAUGCAAGUCGAGCGAACAGACGAGGAGCUUGCUCCUCUGACGUUAGCGGCGGACGGGUGAGUAACACGUGGAUAACCUACCUAUAAGACUGGGAUAACUUCGGGAAACCGGAGCUAAUACCGGAUAAUAUAUUGAACCGCAUGGUUCAAUAGUGAAAGACGGUUUUGCUGUCACUUAUAGAUGGAUCCGCGCCGCAUUAGCUAGUUGGUAAGGUAACGGCUUACCAAGGCAACGAUGCGUAGCCGACCUGAGAGGGUGAUCGGCCACACUGGAACGGAGACACGGUCCAGACUCCUACGGGAGGCAGCAGUAGGGAAGCUUCCGCAAUGGGCGAAAGCCUGACGGAGCAACGCCGCGGGAGUGAUGAAGGUCGUCGGAUCGUAAAAAUCUGUUAUUAGGGAAGAACAAAUGUGUAAGUAACUAGGCACGUCUUGACGGUACCUAAUCAGAAAGCCACGGCUAACUACGUGC
RNAcentral lists this ribosomal RNA (498 nucleotides) under uncultured bacterium. RNAcentral's name for it is "partial 16S ribosomal RNA". It matches the Rfam family "Bacterial small subunit ribosomal RNA", at positions 28 to 508 of the family's 1533-position model. The record is from RNAcentral.